Clupea harengus (Atlantic herring) is the source of this 2433-nucleotide long non-coding RNA. NCBI's taxonomy places the organism in Eukaryota, Metazoa, Chordata, Actinopteri, Clupeiformes, Clupeidae. The record is from Ensembl.
CCUGAGCUUUUGUGAAGGCGCGUCUAAAAUAGAAUAACAAACAUAAUUAGAUAGGGAAUGGUUUUAAAUAAUUGCCUGCAUCUUUGACUUCCGUCGCAUAUAUUCUGCCUCACACGUCUUACUUUCAAUAGCUGCGCGCGACACGUGUUGGAUCUCUUUGCAGUCGGGGCUCUGAAAGAUCUGCACGUUAGGUCCUCGAUAUUGGAGUUGAAGUCAGUAUGCUCUGGAUCUCCUGUUUAAAACGGCCCCUCCCAACGGGGUCAACAUGGCUGAUGCAUGGUCAGUGUAUCAGUUUUGCGGGAUGUCUUUCACCGCAUACACGAAGUACCACCUGGAAAGACAUGCCAUGUUGAGUCGGCUCCAUGGCAACCAGAUGGAGUCCAAUGGCCAUCAGAUCUUAAUCUGUGUGAGAUUAUGCUUGAAUACUCAUGGAAUCAUCUAGAUGGCCCUGCUUUACAUCUAGCAAGAAUAAUCACUGUACUGAUGGAGUGACCAUUUCCUUUAAGAUGAAGCAUGCCAACGGCACAUUUCUAUUGGCUGCUUUGCGCUGAGGUGAUCGUUCAGUUCUGAGUGCUCAACUGUCAUCUAGAAAUGGAGACGUCACUCCUGAUGUGAUGAAAUGAUCUUUGAGGUUUGGUUCUGAGUGCUCAACUGUUUCAUCUAGAAAUGGAGAUGUCACUCCUGAUGUGAUGGAACAAUCAUUGGGUGCAUCGGUUUUGCGGGUUGUCAUCACCGCAUAAACAAAGUACCACCUGGAAAGACAUGCCAUGUUGAGUCGGCUCCAUGGCAACCAGAUGGAGUCCAAUGGCCAUCAGAUCUUAAUCUGUGAGAUUAUGCUUGAAUACUCAUGGAAUCAUCUAUAUGGCCCUGCUUUACAUCUUGGUAGCAAGAAAAAUUAAUGUACUGAUGGAGUGACCAUUUCCGUUAAGAUGAAGCAUGCCAACGGCACAUUUCUAUUGGCUGCUUUGUGCUGAGAUUAUGCUUGAAUACUCCUGGAGUCGUCUGGAUGGCCCUGCUUUACAUCUUGGUAGCAAGAAUAAUGGAGAUAUUAUCACUGUACUGAUGGAGUGACCAUUUCCUUUCAGAUGAAGCAUGGCAACGGCACAUUUCUAUUGGCUGCUUUGUGCUGAGGUGAUCGUUCAGUUCUGAGUGCUCAACUGUCAUCUAGAAAUGGAGACGUCACUCCUGAUGUGAUGAAAUGAUCUUUGAGGUGACUGAUCAGUUCUGGUUUUACAAUUCAGAGAAGUGACAUUUAACAGAAUGAACUCAACAUUAUGCUUGAAUACUCCUGGAAUCUGGAUGGCCCUGCUUUACAUCUUGGUAGCAAGAAUAAUCACUGUACUGAUGAAGUGACCAUUUCCGUUAAGAUGAAGCAUGGCAACGGCACAUUUCUAUUGGCUGCUUUGCGCAGAGGUGAUUGUUCAGGUUCGGUUCUGAGAGCUCAACUGUCAUCUAGAAAUGGAGACGUCACUCCUGAUGUGAUGACAUGAUCUUUGAGGUGACUGGUCAGUUCUGGUUCUACAAUUUCAAGAAGUUCCAUUUAACAGAAUGGACUCGUAUUUGCCAUGUCAUCGAUGACCACAACCUGCACGGCAUCAAGACGACUGAUUUAAGAUCAUGAUUGAUAAUAACACUAACAUGAUCGAUAAUAACACAUAUUUACCCGUUCCAAAAAAGUCUCAAUUCUGAUUAUCAUAAGCAUUGAUUUCACCCAAAUGUAGGGAUCUAUAUCUGUAGGGAUCUGUUAUUAUGUUUUAAAAUGCCAUUUACAUGAAGGAGUAUUCUAUGACCAUGUUCCUCUAAAAACAUUGAAGCUUGAGUUAGAAGUACAGCAGUGUCAUGUUUUAAGAAACCUUUUUUCUGUGUAUGCUGUAGUGGGGGUUAGAAUGGACUACUUGCCGCAAAAGUCAUGUGUAUUGUGUGCUGAAUAUAACAUUUAUGUUGUGUGUUUGUGGAAUUUAAUAAAUAAAGCUGUAAGUCUUACCAUCGCUGUCUCUUGAUCAUGAUUGUAUUAGCAUUGGCAAGUCAGAUGUUUGGAUCACUGACUCAAAUUACAUUUUAAUUAAACACUCAUGACAUUAUGACUACAUACAGUAGCACUUAAUAACAUUACACAAGUCUGGUAGAUGGGCACCCUACAUACUUGGUGGUAACUAACUUUAUACAAUAUAGGCGUUAGCAUUACUCAUGAAGUCUGCAUAGAAAGACUCGUUGGUAUGAAGCGCCAAGGUGUAUGUGCCCUCCAUGCAGACAUGAUGGCUAGCUAGUUAACUAGCUCGUUAUGAGGAUUGACUCCGAAGAAGACAGCGAAGGCAUUCGUUAAAAUAUAUAUUUAAAUAAUUCAAACACACACUCGUCAAUAGAGAUAACGGCCAUCGAAAUGUGUGGUAAAUAAAUAAAAAAAAAAAUUUCAGGGCUGUUACACCAUGGUUU